UGGGGAAUAUUGGGCAAUGGGCGCAAGCCUGACCCAGCAACGCCGCGUGAAGGAAGAAGGCUUUCGGGUUGUAAACUUCUUUUCUCAGGGACGAACAGAUGACGGUACCUGAGGAAUAAGCCACGGCUAACUACGUGCC
Molecule: ribosomal RNA, 139 nt
Filed under: uncultured bacterium
Lineage: Bacteria
Description: partial 16S ribosomal RNA
Rfam family: Bacterial small subunit ribosomal RNA
Source: RNAcentral